This is a long non-coding RNA of Alosa sapidissima (American shad), 969 nucleotides long. RefSeq lists it as uncharacterized. The transcript has 2 exons. Lineage: Eukaryota; Metazoa; Chordata; Actinopteri; Clupeiformes; Clupeidae. The record is from RefSeq and is a predicted model, not a curated record.
CUGUUCUUUCUGUUCAUUUUAGGAAAUCUGUGGUCCACAUGUGUUCUAUACCUGUUGAAUCUGUGGUCCACAUGCUUAACGUGAGAUGCAGGGUUCGACCCGGUCGGACAGCAGCCAUUUUGAAACAGCCAGCCAUUUUGGAACUCCUUGGGUUUGAGGUGCGGGACACUCCUCUUUUUCGACGAGGGACAUGGUAAGAGGAAAUCAGAUGUGGGGCGUCUCGAUCUGAAUCGUCAGACUUCCCAGUAGUCACCUCUAGCAAUGUGAUUGUCCAAUUGUCUUGUGUAAACUAAGUGAAUCAACGCAUCAUUUGUGAAUAUUGAGAUAUAAAUAUCACUGUGUACUGCAACAUGUGAUAGCAAAUACUAAAAGAUCACAUGAAUGAUUCUAAUGCAAUCUUCCGACCGUUCUACUGAAUGAAAUGUGAGUAGAACUACAACUUCCAGCAUGCCUCUUUGUCCCUGAGACCCUUAACCUGUGAUGUCAUGUAAGGUCACAGGUGAGGUCCUUGGGAACAAGGCCACAUGCAUUUUGGCAGCAACCUUCAGAGAUGAAGGACAAAUAAAAGUCUCUGUCUAAUACCCAUGUGGCUGCAGCACAUCUGAUGUAGAUGAGCACCCUAGUUAGAGUAUACUGGACCUCACAAGUGUCCCACAUAAGGGGUCAUCAUUGGGGACAGGCCCUAUCGUCCGGCCUCAGGCCGUGACCAAAGAGAGGACGGUCUAAGGUCGCGACCCCUUCCUCUUGUGAGAAUUCAGAUGCAUCUUAGUCAGGCUAUAUAGCCAGUGCUAUAGACAUGCUGUGAGAGAGAGAGUUAUGAAAUCUGCAGGAAGAUUUGUGUUGGAGUACAUGUGUUCUGUGUUAAUGUUUUAUAUUUUAUGUUUCCCUCAAUUCAUCAUAGUGAAUUUAUCAAAUUUAGUGGAAUUAUAUGUGUCAAACAAAAAAUAAAAGGCUUUUUCAUUCUUCAAA